This is a long non-coding RNA of Carassius gibelio (silver crucian carp), 1489 nucleotides long. RefSeq lists it as uncharacterized. NCBI's taxonomy places the organism in Eukaryota, Metazoa, Chordata, Actinopteri, Cypriniformes, Cyprinidae. The transcript is spliced from 4 exons. The record is from RefSeq and is a predicted model, not a curated record.
AUGUUUAGCUAAACAGAAUAAAAUUUUUUUCUAUAAAUGUGUUCUCUGUUAUUUCAGAUUCUCAGAUUGACUAUGAAACAUCCUGUUUGUGAAAAGACAGAUGCUGAAACCCAUCAAAACAAUAGAGGAUUUUGGGCCACCAUACUAAUAUAUGGGUGUCAUCUUGCUGGCAAUGAAACAAAAAGUGCCUGGUGUUCUAAUGUUCACUUCCUGGAGGAUGGAUGAAGUUUUAGCAUAUUGGUUUGGGCUACAAAGGAGGAGGAUCAAACAUGCAGAGAUUUAAAGAUAUUUUUAGUUGAGAAAAUGUUAUAAAAAUAAGUAAAGAAAUUACUUGAUAAAAACAAAUAUAGUACAUUUGUAAUACAAUUGAAUCCUGAAUAAAUCUUUUAUUACUUUCAUGUGUUAUGUUUAGUAUUUUGUUUUUUAUUCUUUAACUUUUUUUAUAUUUAUAGUUUUAUAUUGUUAUAUUUUUACCAUGAUAUUGAUGUGCAAUAUGUGUAGUUUUAACUGUUUAUUAUGAUUUCAAUGUAUCUUACUAUGGGAGCCGUUGUUUGGUCAGAAUAAAUUUAACCAUAUACUGUGGUUGCUACAAUUUUUAGAGAUCUGAUUUCGAUAAUGAACAAAAAUGUACCUCUGCAUCCUAACAUAGUAUCAAAUGUGUAUUUCUAAGAGACAAAAAGUGAUAUAAAUAUUAUUAAUAUUAUUGGGAAACCCAAACAGUUUUUUUUUUUUUUUUGGAAACAAUAUCACUCAUUAGAACAUCCAGAAACUCAGAAACUAACUUUUCUAUUUAGAUAUUUAUUUUAAGGAAAAUUAAUGGGCCGAUUGCACCAGCUAGACGUAAAGAAGCUGAGUGUUAGUACUAUGCUGGGCUAUGCAACGUCUAGCUUUACGCUAAAUAUUUACACCUGUUGCACCACAAUCGGCGCAGCUACGUCCAGUAUGGCAUUCUCCCACAGAUAUAGAUCUAUCUGAGACUAUGUUCACGCCACAAUGACUACAACUACUAAUCUAGAACUUAAUUGCUUAAGACAUCAUAACAAGUGAAGCCACCGCACCAUGAUUUCAGUAAACAUUUCCUAACAAGUCGGUGUUUUUAAAUCUAAAGUCUCCCUGCACAUUCCCAUGACGGAUUUAAUCAAGGUUAAGUCAAAUAUAACAUUUUGUUGGGAAAAUUGUAUUUGCAUCUACUAUGCUGCAUAAAACGUAUUAUUACCCCAAAAAUGUUGCUGUCUGACAAAGUUUCUCAAAUAAUGUGUGUAAAAUAUGCUAAUAGUCCAAGCUUACAUGAUGAUGUAUGUCUUACCUGUAUAUUUUUGUUUUCUUUACCAACAAUGGACUCGUUUCCUUCCUGUUUGUUGUCUCCUGUACUUUCUGUUUGGAGGUCAUUGUAUGUGUCUGAUUGAGCAACUGUCAUUAUGCAUUUCUGUUCGCAGUGCUUUGCUUAAAUUUUGAACCCUUCGCAAUAAUAAAUGUCUUUGGAAUUUUC